UAUUUCCCUCAGGAUGUUAAUUUGUGGAAACUUAUGGGGGAUUUUAAUCUCCUUGGUAUUACAGUGCCAGAGGAGUAUGGGGGACUUGGCCUUGGUUAUUUGUAUCACUGCAUAGCCAUGGAAGAGAUCAGUCGAGCAUCAGGGUCAGUUGGCCUAUCUUAUGGUGCCCACACAAACCUAUGCAUUAAUCAGUUGGUUAGAAAUGGAACCCAUGAGCAGAAACAAAAGUUUCUACCAAAGCUAAUCAGUGGUGAGCAUGUGGGGGCUCUAGCUAUGAGUGAACCUAAUGCUGGAUCAGAUGUUGUUAGCAUGAAGUGCAAAGCUGACCAUGUUGAGGGUGGUUAUGUUCUGAAUGGAAACAAAAUGUGGUGCACAAAUGGUCCAACGGCUCAGACGCUGGUUGUUUAUGCAAAAACGGAUGUCACAGCCGGUUCAAAAGGAAUCACAGCAUUCAUUAUCGAGAAGGAAAUGACAGGAUUCUCUACUGCCCAGAAAUUAGACAAACUUGGGAUGCGAGGAAGUGACACAUGUGAGCUUGUGUUUGAGAACUGUUUUGUUCCUGAAGAAAAUGUUCUGGGGCAAGUAGGAAAAGGUGUUUAUGUCCUGAUGUCGGGGCUUGAUCUGGAAAGACUUGUUUUGGCAUCUGGUCCUGUUGGAAUUAUGCAAGCUUGUCUUGAUGUUGUUCUCCCCUAUGUUAAACAACGCGAACAAUUUGGUCGACCGAUUGGAGAAUUUCAAUUUGUGCAGGGAAAAGUUGCUGACAUGUAUACAUCUAUGCAAUCUUCAAGGUCUGGUGUUCUUUAUUGUCACACUUCUUGUCCAU
Molecule: unclassified non-coding RNA, 823 nt
Filed under: Hevea brasiliensis (rubber tree)
Lineage: Eukaryota; Viridiplantae; Streptophyta; Magnoliopsida; Malpighiales; Euphorbiaceae
Source: RNAcentral